CCUUUAUGGUGCAUAAUAACCACCGCAGCUGUGCAAGCAGAGAUCAAAGAUCAAAUCAAAUUUCAAGCUGCAGGGACCUCAAUCCGAUCACCUGCAGAGGUCAGGGAAAGGAAUUUCUCUUCCCUGAAGAGCCCCAAGAUUGGCUGAAUUCCCAACAGGGGGGGUUGGCAGUGCCUUGAAGGAUCGCAUUACUGGCUACUGCCCAGAAGCAAGGGGACACGGCCUCGGGGUUGAUGGGACUGGUGGGGCCACUCCAUUGUUCCCAGGCAGAGUGCCUGCCAAGCGGAAUGGAGAAACGCAGAGAAAGCCCAGGACUUGGCAUCCAGGGGCACCGGUGUGGUCAGGGCUCAAAAGUCUCCUUUGAGUGUCUACGCUCAAGGAACCCAGGUGACCUCUUAGACUGUUGCAUGAUUGAUUGUCGUGAUGGCCCAUCCCCCACGCCUCCGCUGCUGUCCCCCACCAUUGCCACCAUGGGAGUGGCAGGCCUGCUGGGACUGGACAGCUCAUGAUCAGAUAGUGCCCUUUUUUGUCACACCGUGUGUAAUAGGUCAGUGGAGACGCCCAACCCAUUUUACUGUGGUAGCUGCCAGGUCUAGAAGGCUUAUCUACAACGUGUCUCAUGGUAUGAAACGUUCUCUUUCCCAGAACAAGAUUUGAUUGCCAGGGUGGAAAUUACUGCAUCUAAAAGCAAUGCUGAGCUUCUUAGCGUUGCCCCACAGUGUCCCUGAGAAGGAGAAAGAAGGUCAAGUCAUGACCCACCCAACUGGCUUGGACAAUGAGGCUGGAUGCUCUCCGGCAGUGUUUCUUACGUUUUGUAAAACUCAGGUUCGGUCUUGAGAAAUAGAAGUAUUUGAACUCCUACACUGUCAUCUCAUAUUCCAAAAUCGAUAUUUUCACCAGGGGUAAAGCAGACAGAUGUUAAUGUAAAUAAAUUUUUCGUGAGUCCUUUACUAGAGGGUGUG
This 962-nucleotide long non-coding RNA is filed under the name Vulpes vulpes (red fox). RNAcentral's name for it is "lncRNA (ENSVVUG00000009645.1)". Lineage: Eukaryota; Metazoa; Chordata; Mammalia; Carnivora; Canidae. The record is from RNAcentral.